This 348-nucleotide long non-coding RNA is filed under the name Marmota monax (woodchuck). The record is from RNAcentral. Lineage: Eukaryota; Metazoa; Chordata; Mammalia; Rodentia; Sciuridae.
CUUUGCCCUUCACCUGAUCCUGUUUGGCAGGGGAAUUACAUCUGGGCUCCAGACGUCAUGGCCACUUGACCGUAUGUCACAUGGAGGAGACCCAAAGAAGAAACCAGGCCUUAAAAAGGAUUUCUGCCCAGAGAAAAGUACUGAAAGCUCUUCACAGAACACCGUGGUGACAGGCACAGAGACUAAAUACACACGCUCACCCAAGUGGAGGGAGAGGCGGCUUUUCCUCCAUCAUCAAUGACUGUCGUAUGCUGGCAGCUGGAAGUUUGCUGGGGCCCCUCAGGCAUUGUGUUGUGGGAUUCCCGUGUGUGGCAGAAAGGGGAAGGGAUGUCCUAUGGCAAGGACAUC